UUCCUUAUUUCUCUGGCGUUUGACUCUUCCUUAUUUCUCCGAGUUGGUUCCUUUUUUUGCUCGCCAAUCAGCUUCCAUCUCUUCCCCUGUCACGUUGGACUCACUCUCCUCUGUCGGUACUUCCUUUCUCUCUCUUCUCACUCAAUUAGUUAAAUGGUUUUUUGAGUAGCAUCUCUUCUGUCCCCAUUUCCUUUUUCUCAUUAUGUAGGCGGUUUUCAUAAAAACAGCAUCAAUUUUCUCUCAAGUACUCUCUUUCUGAUUCCUCCUUUGAAUUUAGUGUUGAGAGAUGUUUAAUUUAAUAUGAAAAUUUUUAUUUUUAUUUUCUGUGUACCUGUUGGUUGAAUCUGCUGAUUUUUUUUCUUCAAGGGAAGGGGGACUAUUUUCCUGAUUUGGGUUUCUUUGGGUAAUUAGUUUGAUUAUUUAGAACAAAUGAAAUGAUCUAGCUUUUUGUGCAAAAUGAAUCUAAUUUUAGAACCCUUUAAAAUCUUGAUUAAGAACCAUACUAAUUAACCCAUUCUAAGUGGAUGUCACAGUUAUUACAUCCAUGUGGUAACAUCUGCAUUGCCAUCUUAUUUUGAAAGUUAAACAUAUGAUACCAGUAUUUCAUCUAAUUUCUAAAAGGAUCAUAUUUUUAUUCUUUUAUCUAUUGCAAGAAGACACUAGGUAGAAAUUGGUCAACUUUGAUAAUAAAGUUCGCCAACUAGAAACUCAAUUUUGUGAAGCGCAAUAAGCUGCAACAAAUGCAAGAAACAUAAGCAUGUUUUUUGGUGCUUGCUUAUGUAGACAAGCACAUGCAAAUCAAUUCUGAAUCUGACAUUUAAUGUGCAAUUGUGUGUUUGAGCAUAAAGUAGAAGAACUUGAACAUGUAAUGAAAGUAUCGAAGAAAGAGCUUAAGGCUAAAAAGGUAUAAAUUUUUAUUAUUUUCUCUUUAUAUAAUCACAAUGUUAGAUUGUUUGAUAUGAACUACUUGUACAUUUCCUCUGAUAUACAAGAUUUAAACUAUUUUUUUGCAAUGACUCCUUAAAUAAGAUUUGUUAUAUUAUGCAAUUAAAGAUUCUUAUGCCUUUAACCAUUGUGUUGGUUGUACCAGCUUUCUUCGUUUCACCUUGAAGGCAAUAGGUGUAGCUAUUCUAGUGUGCAGUUUGAUUGUUCUUAUAUGUUUAAAUCAGGAUGAAGUAAGGCAUAGCUUCAAGCACACAGGAAGUAUGUUAAAGUUUUAUUGAAUGAACAUGGAUGAGAGUUUAGUAUCAGGCCAUGGUAUUAAUGUCUCUCAUCUUUAAUGCUG
This 1285-nucleotide long non-coding RNA is filed under the name Theobroma cacao (cacao). RNAcentral describes it as "long non-coding RNA (TCAC_LNC005624)". Lineage: Eukaryota; Viridiplantae; Streptophyta; Magnoliopsida; Malvales; Malvaceae. The record is from RNAcentral.